GAGUUUGAUCCUGGCUCAGAGUGAACGCUGGCGGCAUGGUUAAGACAUGCAAGUCGAACGAGAAGCAAAACUUCGGUUUUGUGGACAGUGGCGAACGGGUGCGUAACACGUGAGCAACCUGCCCCUAAGUACGGAAUAGCCCACCGAAAGGUGGAUUAAUACCGCAUGUGUCCCUUUUUCGCAUGGAGAAGUGGAUAAAGCUUGUAAUGGCGCUUAGGGAUGGGCUCGCGGCCUAUCAGCUUGUUGGUGAGGUAACGGCUCACCAAGGCUAAGACGGGUAGCUGUUCUGAGAGGAUGAUCAGCCACACCGGGACUGAGACACGGCCCGGACACCUACGGGUGGCAGCAGUUUCGAAUCAUUCACAAUGGGCGAAAGCCUGAUGAUGCAAUGCCGCGUGGAGGAUGACGGCCUUAGGGUUGUAAACUCCUGUCAUUAGGGAACAACAAGUAGGUUCAUAGCCUACUCUGAGUUAACCUAAAGAGGAAGAGGUGGCUAACUCCGUGCCAGCAGCCGCGGUAAUACGGAGACCUCGAGCGUUACUCGGAUUUACUGGGCGUAAAGGGUGAGCAGGCGGCUAGGUGUGUUAGGUGUGAAAUCCCGGGGCUUAACCUCGGAACUGCGCCUAAAACUACCUAGCUAGAGUCUCGGAGAGGACAGUGGAAUUCUAGGUGUAGCGGUGAAAU
This 684-nucleotide ribosomal RNA is filed under the name uncultured bacterium. RNAcentral's name for it is "bacterial SSU rRNA". It matches the Rfam family "Bacterial small subunit ribosomal RNA", at positions 9 to 687 of the family's 1533-position model. The record is from RNAcentral.